AGCUUUUGUUCAUUUGUUUCAGACUUUUUUCUCUUGUAAAAAAUAGUACUGAUUAACUUUUUUAAAAGAAAGAUUUUACUGUAAAUAUGAAUUUUUUUUUUUUUUUUUCUUCUCUCUUUUCGGUCUUGUUUUUUGUUUCUGUUGUUUUUUGGGAUUUUUUUUUUUUUGGUCUUAUUUCUGUCCCCCUCCCUGGUUUGUUAUCAUAACCUGUAGUGCCAACUCUGCUUCCGGAGGGGCAGUGCAGGAUGAAAUGCUGACCCUGAAGUUGCUUCUCAUUCAUAAAUAAGUAGAAAAUUGUUUCUCCAGUCUUUUGGGAACACAGGACUUAAAAGUCACAUCAUGUGUAGAUAUUACAAGCAGCAUUACCAAGACACGGCAACAAGAGUUUGUCUGACUUGUAAUGUUGCAUUUGUGACCCUAUUCUGGGAUUUUCAGAGGUACAAGGUUAGAAUGCUACAAUGUUACCACUGUGCCUUCCAAUGUUUAUAUCAUCGGAAACAUAACAUAAUCAAAGUGGCUGUGAUUUAACAAAACGAUUAAAGUGUUACCUACCUGUGUAGCCGAAGUAGUGUGCAGUGAGGCGUUUCUGAAUACAUGGUCAGAUUUUUGGAAAAAAACAAAAAACAAAAAACAAAUGAAGUUCAAAAACUGUCAAAUGAGAAAAUUGCAAGUAGUGUGACAGAGCUGAUUGAUUUUGUUGCUUUCUUAAUUUUUUUUUUUUCAAAAUGGGUUUACUAAAAAGUAGAUGACUUAACCUGCCUCCUCCUUCAUCUGAAAAAUGCCAAUAUUCAGUCAUCAUGCAGCAUUAUAACAAGCCUUAUAAGUCCUAAAGCAUUAAGUUGCACUUUUUUGAGGAGGGGUAGUGCAGUAUUUCUCUGGCCAGUAUGAAUGAAGUUGAUACUUACCAUAUUUGAUAGAAACAUAGAUCAAGCUAUGGCACAGCAACUCAUCAGAUAGCUAGCUUUGACGUCUGGGCACAAUUGAACCAGUUUCCAUCAUAAAUCUUUAUAAUGAUUGACUUUGGUGUAUAGUGCAGUAAACAAAUAGUGCUCCUAGUUAAGUAUUUGUCAGCAUCCUUUUGUCUCUAACUUGUUUCUAUUUUUACAGCCACACAAUCUUGGCAUGUAUUAAGAAAAAGCAAUCCCUAUUCAAGUAGUUUUUCCACCUAUCAGCACUGAGUAAAUGCCAUAAAUCCAUCAAAAUGGUCUAAAUGUUCCAUCUGUUCUCCUGUUUUGCCAGUUAUAUAGUAAUGAAAUACAUUUGUAAAUUUUAUGCAACAAAUGGCAAACGUAUCAUUAUUUUGAAAUUGUGUAUGUAAAAGUUAUAUUUUUACAUGUAGGCUCUUGUUAUUAUGUGUUUUAAUACAUUGUAUCAGUUUUCGUUUUUCUAAACUGUGUGGUUUAAAAGAAGUCUCAUUUAAAUGAAAUAGUGAGCUACAAGAAUCUGAAUUUUAUGUUCAUUUCUGAAAAUGUAAGAACAAAUAAGAUAGUUACCACGUGGUCAUCUUUUACAAACCCAUUAACAUUUUGAUUAGCUGUGUGUGUGUGUGUGUGUGUGUGUGUGUGUUGAAAACUGUAAAUAUGUUCAGUAGCGAUAAAACUAAAAUAAUUUGAUUUGUUAAUAAGUUCCUAAAAUGUGGAGGUGGAUUAAAACCUUAGGAGAAGAGCAGAAAUCAAACUUCAUGAAAAGUUAUUUGGGGGGUUUCCUGUGAAAUGUAUGAACAAAGGGGCUCAAAGAAGGGCAUGAAAGACAAUAAUGUAUACUCUCCCUCCUCCUCCCUGAAUAAUGGAAACCAUGUGUACUUCUUCCCUCAGUAUGUUAAAGAUUUCCUUUUAGUGGUACAUUCUGCACUCAUCUUGUAUUGUCUACCAAGGCGGGUAUCCCUAGGAACAAUAUUAUAUAGGAAGCAGGUAUACUCUGAUCACAUUCAGGAUAAGUGUACAGAAGAAAGUAUGGUGUUUACUCUUUAGGGAACUGGAAACACUCCCUGCAUUGAUGUACAUUUUAAGAAUGGCACUUUUGAUACAUGUUAUCAGAAAGGUGCUUAAUAGAGCUGAAUUAAAGUUUUCAAACCUGUAAACAAAGCAAAAAAUGAAAUUGUAGUCAUUUGAUUAUUUUUUAAAUUGGUGCUUUAUAUUUUGUUCUCACUCAAACAGAGUAAAAGCUGCAAUUUCUUGUUCACCAGCUUUGAUGUAUUCAUUACUCAGUAAUGUAAUACCUCUAUUGUUGAAAUCCCUUUGGACAUAAGCGAAAAACUUCCUAAUGGCCACCAGAAUCUGCUCACUGCUUUUUUGCUUGGUGGGGAAACAUAAUCUGCGCCUAUCUGUAUUAAUUGGGUUGUAUCCCCAGUUUAAAAAAGAGAAGAAGAAGAAGAAGAAGAAGAAGAAGAAAGGGAAUGUGGCCUUUUAGUGUGUUUUUUGUCGUUUUGUUAUUUUCAAACCCAGGUAAGAUAUUGGUAUCCUGCACUGGAUUUUUGAAUUAAAUUUAGCAGAAGACAGGAUUGAAGUGCUAUACAGAAGUUUCACAAGGGUCCAUGCUAUACUACAUAUAUAGAUGAUGAUACUUAGGCUGGGGAUCGGUAUAAGAAACUUGGACUUUGAAAGCAACAUGGAAUAGUUGAUCCACCUCCACAUUCAAGUAAUUUAUGAAUAUGCAGAAUAGGGAUCUGUUCAUCUAGAAAUUUUUACCAUUUGUCUUCUGUGUAGCUGCAAGGAACACUAAUGUUUAUACAACUGUCAGUCCACCCAGUGGUGCAACUGGUUCUGAUUCAGUCUUCCGAUUCCUUUUUUGUUCUUCACUUUUUCCUAUUCCUUGAAUUUUUUAAAUUCAUAAUCUUUAUUUUGUUGAGGGGUUGGGGAGUGGGGAGGGAGUUGAACUGAGACUGGGGGUUAAGAGGAUUUUCGUCUUUGCAUCCAACAGGUAGAAUAUGAUCUGUGUCCAAAAGUGAACUUGAGUCAGGAACGAAACCAUUUCAGCAUAAACGAGCACAAAAAUUUAGUCUGCUGGCUGACUGGAAGCAAAAAAGUCAAGAUGGAAUAUGAUGAAUUCCAACACAAUGGGGCACCAAGGCCUUUUGGGCCUGUCUUUUUAUUUUGCUUUGGUUUUGUUUGUUUUUCUUUAGAGACACGCUCUUUCUCAUGGGACUUGAAGUGGACUCAUCUUUGUGCAGUGCUGGUUUUGCCAUACUCAUUUCAAGUAUUAUAGACAUAUGUAAUGGUGAAAAUAUAUGAACUGUGGCCUUUUUCAUUCUUGUUACUUGUGAUGCAAUUAAGUGAAGAUAAGAAAAAAAAAAAAGCAGAGAUUUACCAUGUAUCAGUGCCUGGCUUUUUGUUAUAAAGCUUUGUUUGUCUAGUGCUCUUUUUGCUAUAAAAUAGACUGUAGUACACCCUAGUAGGAAAAAAAACCCUAAAUUUAAAAAUAAAAAAUAUAUUUGGCUUAUUUUUCGCAGGAGCAAUCCUUUUAUACCAUGAAUAUUACAAAAAAUUGUCAGAUUCUGAAUAUUUCUUCUUUGUAGAUUUUUGGAAUCAUUAUGAGUAAAAGUUUGUUACUUUAUUUUACUAUUUAAAAGAUGUUAUUUUACCAUGUGUUACCAAGAUGAAACUGUAUGGUAGCUUUUUUGUUUGUUUUGUUUUUGUUUUUGUUUUUUAGUUGUAGGUCGCAGCGGGGAAAUUUUUUGCGACUGUACACAUAGCUGCAGCAUUAAAAACUAAAAAAAAAUUGUUAAAAAAAGAAAAAAAGGGAAAACAUUUCAAAAAAAGAUAAACAGUUACACCUUGUUUUCAAUGUGUGGCUGAGUGCCUCGAUUUUUUCAUGUUUUUGGUGUAUUUCUGAUUUGUAGAAGUGUCCAAACAGGUUGUGUGCUGGAGUUCCUUCAAGACAAAAACAAACCCAGCUUGGUCUAGGCCAUUACCUGUUUCCAUCUGUAGUUAUUCGAUGAAGUCAUGUACAUGACCGUUCUGUAGCAAUAAAUGUGCCAUUUUUAUAAACUGUUUCUGACACUUGUUUCAUUUCAUUUUGCAUUGUCCAUAUAGCUAUGAUUCUCUUCUGUUAAGAUGGCAUUAUAGUUCAUUUUCUAAGUGUUGGAGGUAUUGGCAGCUUAACAGACAAAACAUACAAAAAUAAAAAAAAUUAAAUUACAAAAGCAAAUUGAAAAGCAAAGCACAUGGUUGAUCAAGGAAGAGAUGCCCUUAAUGAAAAUGGAACGGGAUGCAUGCAAAACAAAAGAGAAAACUGUCUAGAGGAUUAACUAAUUGAAGGAAUAUAAUUAAUAUGCAUGUAACACUGACGCUAUGCAUUUGAAGAGAUCUGAACUGCACCAAUGUCUUCAGUUGUGCUGCAGGUUGCUGAGUCAUGUCAGCCUUAACCUUUGGAUCAGUUAGUCGACUGUUUGGCAGAACAUUCUCAGCUAGAUCUUUUCAGUCAAAAGAUUUAUUUUGUAUCACUGUUAAAAGCUGAAUAUUGUUAACCACGACAUUACACUGUAUUUAUACGUUCUCAAACUAUACCCACCCCACCAACUUCUGGUUGACUGUUGACUAUAUUAAUCCAGAUGUAAACAACCAGAUUUUUCCCCCUAACUUGUACAAACUUACUUGUGUCACCUACUAUGGGGGGGAAGAAAUGUACAGAUUAAAAUUAUUCAGUGUUAUGUACUGUAAGUUCAUAUUUUUGUAGAAUGCACCUCAAUCUGCUUUACAAAACUUGGAGACUGUUUCAACAUUGCACUGUAGAGAUGUAAAGUGAUGUUUGCAAUGUAAAAGAAAGCCGCGUAGAAGAGCAUUUCGUGACACGAUGUUCUAACCGAGUGCGUGGUAUUUUGGGAUGUCUCCGAUAAUUGCUCUUGUAUUCUUUCUAAUGGGAUUUAGUGACUAGUUUAAUCUGAAGGAAAAUGUUAUAACACCAUUUGGUUCACAUGUGAAGUGCCCUCCAUAGCCAAAUGUUGAGUUUUUUUUUUCUUUUUGGUUGGAUUGUUUGCAGAUACUUAAAUU
This 4988-nucleotide long non-coding RNA is filed under the name Heterocephalus glaber (naked mole-rat). Its description in RNAcentral is "lncRNA (ENSHGLG00000050453.1)". Lineage: Eukaryota; Metazoa; Chordata; Mammalia; Rodentia; Bathyergidae. The record is from RNAcentral.